Molecule: non-coding RNA, 140 nt
Organism: Mesocricetus auratus (golden hamster)
Lineage: Eukaryota; Metazoa; Chordata; Mammalia; Rodentia; Cricetidae
Source: Rfam
UGCCCCUGGCAACAGGCAAAGACACACCUUGUUGUUGGUGUUCUUAUAGAGAGAGAGGCAAAGCCAAUGGCCAUUCUCUGUUCAUCCCAACUUAGUGCCUAGAUUGGUGGCCAACGCUGUUCUAUACCUAGAGCACAUAA